GGGAUAAUUUCUGGAAACGGAAACUAAAACCGGAUAGGUAAUAGAGAAGCAUUUCUGUAUUAUUAAAGAAGCCUCAAAGCUUUGAACAUGGAUGGACCUGCGGUGCAUUAGCUAGUUGGUAAGGUAACGGCCUACCAAGGCGACGAUGCAUAGCCGACCUGAGAGGGCGAACGGCCACAUUGGGACUGAGACACGGCCCAAACUCCUACGGGAGGCAGCAGUAGGGAAUUUUCGUCAAUGGGGGGAACCCUGAACGAGCAAUGCCGCGUGAGUGAAGACGGUCUUCGGAUUGUAAAGCUCUGUUGUGAGAGAAAAAGGAUAUAUAUAGGAAAUGAUAUGUAUUUGAUGGUAUCUCACCAGAAAGUCACGGCUAACUACGUGCCAGCAGCCGCGGUAAUACGUAGGUGGCGAGCGUUAUCCGGAAUGAUUGGGCGUAAAGGGUACGUAGGCGGCAUGAUAAGUCUGGAGUGAAAGGCUACAGCUCAACUGUAGUAUGCUCUGGAAACUGUCAAGCUAGAGUGCAGAAGAGGGCAAUGGAACUCCAUGUGUAGCGGUAAAAUGCGUAGAUAUAUGGAAGAACACCGGUGGCGAAGGCGGUUGCCUGGUCUGAAACUGACGCUGAAGUACGAAAGCGUGGGGAGCAAAUAGGAUUAGAUACCCUAGUAGUCCACGCCGU
Molecule: ribosomal RNA, 676 nt
Filed under: uncultured bacterium
Lineage: Bacteria
Description: bacterial SSU rRNA
Rfam family: Bacterial small subunit ribosomal RNA
Source: RNAcentral